CCUACGGGUGGCUGCAGUGGGGAAUAUUGGACAAUGGGCGAAAGCCUGAUCCAGUCAUGCCGCGUGUGUGAAGAAGGUCUUCGGAUUGUAAAGCACUUUAAGUUGGGAGGAAGGGCAGUUACCUAAUACGUGAUUGUUUUGACGUUACCGACAGAAUAAGCACCGGCUAACUCUGUGCCAGCAGCCGCGGUAAUACAGAGGGUGCAAGCGUUAAUCGGAAUUACUGGGCGUAAAGCGCGCGUAGGUGGUUUGUUAAGUUGAAUGUGAAAUCCCCGGGCUCAACCUGGGAACUGCAUCCAAAACUGGCAAGCUAGAGUAUGGUAGAGGGUGGUGGAAUUUCCUGUGUAGCGGUGAAAUGCGUAGAUAUAGGAAGGAACACCAGUGGCGAAGGCGACCACCUGGACUGAUACUGACACUGAGGUGCGAAAGCGUGGGGAGCAAACAGGAUUAGAUACCCGUGUAGUC
Molecule: ribosomal RNA, 465 nt
Filed under: uncultured bacterium
Lineage: Bacteria
Description: bacterial SSU rRNA
Rfam family: Bacterial small subunit ribosomal RNA
Source: RNAcentral